UGAGGGGGGCUGCUCCUAGUACGAGAGGACCGGAGUGGACGCAUCACUGGUGUUCGGGUUGUCAUGCCAAUGGCACUGCCCGGUAGCUAAAUGCGGAAAAGAUAAGUGCUGAAAGCAUCUAAGCACGAAACUUGCCCCGAGAUGAGUCUUCCCUGAGACCUUGAGUCUCCUGAAGGAACGUUAAAGACGAUGACGUUGAUAGGCCGGGUGUGUAAGCGCAGCGAUGCGUUGAGCUAACCGGUACUAAUGAACCGUGAGGCUUAACCUU
This 268-nucleotide ribosomal RNA is filed under the name Salmonella enterica. RNAcentral's name for it is "partial 23S ribosomal RNA". It matches the Rfam family "Bacterial large subunit ribosomal RNA", at positions 2663 to 2925 of the family's 2925-position model. The record is from RNAcentral. Lineage: Bacteria; Pseudomonadati; Pseudomonadota; Gammaproteobacteria; Enterobacterales; Enterobacteriaceae. RNAcentral also lists the same sequence under 1 other name.